Molecule: ribosomal RNA, 254 nt
Filed under: uncultured bacterium
Lineage: Bacteria
Description: partial 16S ribosomal RNA
Rfam family: Bacterial small subunit ribosomal RNA
Source: RNAcentral
UACAGAGGGUGCGAGCGUUGUUCGGAAUUACUGGGCGUAAAGCGCGCGCAGGCGGCCUUUUAAGUCUGACGGUGAAAUGCCGGGGCUCAACCCCGUGCCCGCCGGAGAUACUGGGAGGCUGGAGACGAGUAGAGGCAAGCGGAAUUCCGGGUGUAGCGGUGAAAUGCGUAGAUAUCUGGAGGAACACCGGUGGCGAAGGCGGCAUCCUGGACCGGCAUUGACGCUGAGGCGCGAAAGCCAGGGGAGCAAACGGG